CCUACGGGCGACAGCAGUGAGGAAUAUUGGUCAAUGGGCUUACGCCUGAACCAGCCAAGUCGCGUGAGGGAAGACUGCCCUAUGGGUUGUAAACCUCUUUUGUCAGGGAGCAACGCCGGCUACGUGUAGCCGGACUGAGAGUACCUGCAGAAAAAGCAUCGGCUAACUCCGUGCCAGCAGCCGCGGUAAUACGGAGGAUGCGAGCGUUAUCCGGAUUUAUUGGGUUUAAAGGGUGCGUAGGCGGAAUGCCAAGUCAGCGGUAAAAUCGCGGGGCUCAACCUCGCUCCGCCGUUGAAACUGGCGGUCUUGAGUGGGCGAGAAGUAGGCGGAAUGCGUGGUGUAGCGGUGAAAUGCAUAGAUAUCACGCAGAACUCCGAUUGCGAAGGCAGCAUACCGGCGCCCAACUGACGCUGAAGCACGAAAGCGUGGGUAUCGAACAGGAUUAGAUACCCUGGUAGUC
This 460-nucleotide ribosomal RNA is filed under the name uncultured bacterium. Its description in RNAcentral is "partial 16S ribosomal RNA". It matches the Rfam family "Bacterial small subunit ribosomal RNA", at positions 338 to 795 of the family's 1533-position model. The record is from RNAcentral.